GACGAACGCUGGCGGCGUGCCUAAUACAUGCAAGUUGAGCGCUGAAGGUUGGUACUUGUACCAACUGGAUGAGCAGCGAACGGGUGAGUAACGCGUGGGGAAUCUGCCUUUGAGCGGGGGACAACAUUUGGAAACGAAUGCUAAUACCGCAUAAAAACUUUAAACACAAGUUUUAAGUUUGAAAGAUGCAAUUGCAUCACUCAAAGAUGAUCCCGCGUUGUAUUAGCUAGUUGGUGAGGUAAAGGCUCACCAAGGCGAUGAUACAUAGCCGACCUGAGAGGGGGAUCGGCCACAUUGGGACUGAGACACGGCCCAAACUCCUACGGGAGGCAGCAGGAGGGAAUCUUCGGCAAUGGACGAAAGGCUGAACGAGCAACGCCGCGUGAGUGAAGAAGGGUUUCGGAUCGUAAAACUCGGUUGGUAGAGAAGAACGUUGGUGAGAGUGGAAAGCGCAUCAAGUGACGGUAACUACCCAGAAAGGGACGGCUAACUACGUG
RNAcentral lists this ribosomal RNA (497 nucleotides) under uncultured bacterium. Its description in RNAcentral is "partial 16S ribosomal RNA". It matches the Rfam family "Bacterial small subunit ribosomal RNA", at positions 28 to 507 of the family's 1533-position model. The record is from RNAcentral.